CAGCAAUUUCCGUAUCACUUAGUGGAGACCUAGAAUCAGCCAGGCCAGGACAAUGGAAUCAAUUCCAUCUGGUUGCUAUGGAGAAUCCAAUGGGGGGGGGCUACAGAGACAAGAACGAGGUCCGCCCUCCGUUGCUGGGACUUGGACCAACUCCCAGUGUGAAACUCUACGUAAAAGUAUAGACCAUGGAAGCGCAGGCGAUCCAAGUCAAACCACCUAAAACUUUUGGUCUUAUGAUGUCUUUUAACCUUCCACUGAACAGCACAAGUCAUGUGGAGAACCCAAAGUCAAAGGGGGUAGGGGGCCCAUGCUCCGCAUGCCAGUGAGCCAUGGCAAAGACAGGGAAGACGCAGACUCUCGGGUAUGUAACACGGUCCAGCUUCA
Molecule: long non-coding RNA, 384 nt
Filed under: Chinchilla lanigera (long-tailed chinchilla)
Lineage: Eukaryota; Metazoa; Chordata; Mammalia; Rodentia; Chinchillidae
Description: lncRNA (ENSCLAG00000024244.1)
Source: RNAcentral